CUGGAGACGAAAUCCCGUUUUGCAGCCUAGCAACAUUCCAGCACGCCAAAAUCGACAUCAAUAAACUGAUAUAGUACUGGCCUGCAAGCCUGCAAGCAAUAUGCAAACAAAUCACUGGACUGGAAGAUAUAACUUGAGGUGCUUGAUUUGUUGCCAUUGGUGAUUAUGAGGAAGACGAUCCAGUAUUGUAUGUCUAUGGAAAACUGGUCCGAGAAUCCAUUAAAGCCUCUUGGUACUGCAACACCACCCAUAACACCUAAAAUGUUGGUUUAAAAGUCUUUAUAGAUUUGGUUGUUAACUUUAUCUCUUCUUCUAAGUCAAAUAGAACAUGAAAAAUAAAGGUGCAAUAAAUCAUAUUGAAAAGGCGAGUGUAUUUUGGUUUUUAAGUCUAGUCUAGGCUAGGUAGGGCUGGGCACGGGACGGGACGGGCCGGGAUUUGGUGAAUCCCGUCCCGUCCCGAAAAUAAAAGAACGGGACGGGACGGGACGGGAAGGUGUUUUUAAAAAUCUGUCCCGUACGUCCCGAUCCCGACUAAAUUUUUUUUUUUUUUUUUUUUUUUNNNNNNNNNNNNNNNNNNNNNNNNNNNNNNNNNNNNNNNNNNNNNNNNNNNNNNNNNNNNNNNNNNNNNNNNNNNNNNNNNNNNNNNNNNNNNNNNNNNNNNNNNNNNNNNNNNNNNNNNNNNNNNNNNNNNNNNNNNNNNNNNNNNNNNNNNGUGCAUAGGUGCUAAAUUACAUCUCACUUUAAAAGUACUAAACAUCACACAUUAAAAAUUAACCCUCAAACAACAACUUAAAAUAUCCAAAAUCACACAAGCAAAAAAAAAGAACAUGAAUGAAAUUAAAAGUAUUAUUUUAGACCAAAUUAAGUGUGGUUGAGUGCAUUGUAACACCAUGCAACCUAAAAAAUCAAGUAUAAAAUGAAUAAAAUCAAGUAUUCUAAUAUUACGGGACGGGACGGGAUUUUUCGGGAUAGUCCCGUCCCGUCCCGUCCGGUUAUGGUAAUGUUAAAACGGGACGGGACGGGACGGGACGGGACGGGACGGGACGGGACGGGACGGGACGGGAUUGCUAUUUUCAAAACCUAUCUCGUCCCGUCUCGCUAACUUUCGGGACGGGACCGGUAUGGGAUCAGGAUUCCGGUACUAAGUGCCCAGCCCUAAGGCUAGGUUUGUAAGCCUAAAGAGGUAAUUUCUUAUUAUCGGUAUUUAUGUGUGAGUUAUCUUAGUACUGUUUGCUGAAUAAUAUAAUUAGUUGACUUUCGACUCAAAAAAAAUAAAAUAUUUUACAUAUAUAUUGUUAACAUAAAUGAGUCGAGUUUUAAUGAAUAGGCCGAGAUUUUAACGAGCUCGAUCUACUCAUAUAAUAUACGAGCUACCCACGAGCUAAACGAGCCGAAUACAUCAUUAUUCAAGCUCGGCUCGUUUUUUUAUCAGGCUUAAUAUUGAGCUCAAACUCGGUAAUUUGAUGUUUUUAAUGCAACUAACGCGUAAUAAUAGCACAGUCAUCAAAGAUAGGGGAAAUAUUUAGACCCCAAGUAUCGUAUCAUGGGGAUUGAAAAGCUAACUCCAAUCCUCGUCUUCAGACUACUAAGUCAAAAACAAUUUCUACAAAGUGAUAUGAACAAUGUGAAUGAUAGAGAAAGUUGAUUUUGGUUUUGGGAAACUAAAACUAAAAUUGAAAAUAAAAUAAAAAUAAUAGAAACUAAUCAAGGAAUGAGAUAGAAUUAGGUCACUAGGGUAUCCUUCUAGCCAAAUCUAAUGCACAAAUGUGUUUUCAAUGGUCAUUCAAUUCCUAAUGGCAUCAAGAACCGUACUCAAGGUUUUUCAAGCCUCAAGGGUCAUUAGAUUCCUUAUGAGGUAUUCCUACUCUGGUUCAAGGGUAGUAGAAACUCGAUUGAGACAAUCUAGAGCCUUGUUAAGGCCUCUAGAUGAACCAAAAGGCGAAGAGUCCUAGAAUCAAGGUUCCCAAGCUAGCCAAUACGGCAAUCGAAAUUGACAUUGUAACUAACCAUGCCCUAAACAAGUGUCAUAGCCAUAACCAUAAAUUAGAGAAGUGUUUAAGUCCCCUAAUUUGUUCUAGACAUGCUCAUCUACACAUUCAAGAGUUAAUCAAGCUCCUAAUCAUGCAUCUAAGCCAAUAAUAAUAGAAUAGAACAUAUGCCCAAUAUGAAAUUGAAAUCCAUUGAAUCAAAACACAUUCGUUACAUUAAAUCCAAGCUAGGGCUCAAACCCUAGUUUCCUAAAUAGACUACUCACAAUCCAUAACAAAUCAACAACAAAGUAUAUCAAGUAAAGAGGUAAAGGUGAAGAGGAGUGAGAAGUAACAAGAACAAGCCACAAAUUGCUAUGUAGUUUCUCACUUUACCCAAAUCUCAAAUAUAGAUGUCCGAUGCUCCCUUGAAGUGUCUUGAAAUAUAGAUGGGAAUUUGGUGUAGAUGGAGUGAGAGUGAAGGGAUGGUGAUGGUGAUCUUGAGUAGUAGAAAAUGGUAGAGUGAGAGGAGAAUGGAGGCACGGUGGCCUUGAGGAGAACUGAGGAUGAGAUGUUGGAAUGCUGGUUCGGUGGUGUGAGGAGAAGAGAGAAUAGGAUGGGAUCCUCUCCCUUCAAGUGAGGUUGUGCAGCGUUUAUCAAGGGGAGCCCCCAAUUAGGUCUCCGUGUGGCUGACUCGAUUUUGCCUCAGAUAAUUGGAGCAACUGCCACGUGGCAUUGUGUGAUAAGCUGGAGCUUCAUAGCUUGAUUUCUUCUUCAAUUUGCUUAAUGUUUUUCCGCUCUCUUGAUGACACGACCAUGGGUGACCGGUAUUGUUAUUUCGUUAAUUUGCCGUAUACUCCAAUUCACUCCAAUUUUCCGUAACUCUCAUUAUUUUUUAUAAAAUAAAUAAAAAUGGAUUAAUCACAUAUUAAUUGUUAUGAUGAUUAGCUAAUUCAUAGUGUUUAAGUAGUAAUUAUGAGUAUAUCAUUUAUUUUUAUAAAAUAAAUAAAAAUGGAUUAAUUAUAUAUUAAUUGUUAUGAUGAUUAGCUAAUUCAUAGUGUUUAAGUAGUAAUUAUGGGUAUAAAAAUAUACGUAAUUACUCGGCUCCAUUAUCUUACGAGCACGAGCCGAACGAGUUAAAAACCGAGCCGAAUACGAGUCAAACACGAGUGGCUCGAGCCAACUUACUACCCUAGCUGUGUCUCUGUAUACUACGAAUAACUAUCUGGUUUCACAAAAUCUUAUAGAAGAACUUCAUCAACUGUGUGCUCAAUUCUGGUGGGGUGGUACAUAUGAGAAGAAGGGUAUGCAUUAGAGAGCUUGGGAUGCCUUGCGUAAGCCGAAAAUUGAAGGAAGUAUGGGUUUUUAACAUCUAUUUGCUUUUAAUUUAGCUAUGUUAGCUAAACAGGGGUGAGGAUUAAUUCAGAAUCUGACAUCCCUAACAAGGAGAUUAAAGCUAUCUAUUUUCCUCAAGGUAAUUUAUGGGAAGGGAGUUCUCCCUCUUAUGCAUGGCAAAGUAUUAUUGAUGGAAGUAUUACUAAUGAUACGGAUUUUCUUAAUUUGACCCACUUUUUCAUCUUAUUUUCUCAUCUUAACCGUUCACAUUGUAGGUAUAUAUGAGUAGAUCAUCUCUACAAAUUUUCAGUUAAUUUGGAGAUCGUUAAGGUAUCGAAAAUGAACUAAAUCAAUGAAC
This 3660-nucleotide long non-coding RNA is filed under the name Fragaria vesca (wild strawberry). Its description in RNAcentral is "long non-coding RNA (FVES_LNC005504)". The record is from RNAcentral. Lineage: Eukaryota; Viridiplantae; Streptophyta; Magnoliopsida; Rosales; Rosaceae.